AAGAGCAGAGAGAAACAUGCUUACCACGUGACCCAGGUCUUGCAGAUUAUUAGAGAGAAGAAACUGUAUGCAAAAUUGACUAAGUGUGGGUUCUGACUCGAGCAGACUACAUUUCUAGGGCACAUCAUAAUAAGGGGUGGAGUAUCAGUAAAUUUUAAAAAAGUUGAGGCAAUAUUUGGAUAGGAGAAAUUGACCUCGGUUACCACCAUCAUCCACGCCUUGAAGACCUAGCGCCCCUACCUGUAUGGAGGGACUUUUGAUAUUUAUAUCGACCAUAAGAGCUUGAAGUACAUAUUCAUUCAGAAGGAUCUC
RNAcentral lists this long non-coding RNA (312 nucleotides) under Carica papaya (papaya). Its description in RNAcentral is "long non-coding RNA (CPAP_LNC006269)". Lineage: Eukaryota; Viridiplantae; Streptophyta; Magnoliopsida; Brassicales; Caricaceae. The record is from RNAcentral.